This 1909-nucleotide ribosomal RNA is filed under the name metagenome. RNAcentral's name for it is "bacterial LSU rRNA". It matches the Rfam family "Bacterial large subunit ribosomal RNA", at positions 911 to 2841 of the family's 2925-position model. The record is from RNAcentral.
UGAAUUUCCUAGGGGGCGUCAAAGCUUACCGAAGAAUAUCAAACUCCGAAUGCCACAGAGAUGUUUGCCGGGAGUCAGACUAUACGAGAUAAGUUGGAUAGUCAAAAGGGAAAGAGCCCAGACCACCAGCUAAGGUCCCCAAGUACGUGUUAAGUGGAAAAGGAUGUGGGAUUUCAAAGACAGCCAGGAUGUUGGCUCAGAAGCAGCCAUACAUUUAAAGAGUGCGUAAUAGCUCACUGGUCGAGAGGUCCUGCGCCGAAAAUGUCCGGGGCUAAAACACGACACCGAAGCUGUGGGAUUUACGAAUGUAAAUCGGUAGGGGAGCAUUGUUAACUGGAUGAAGCGGUACCGGAAGGGGCCGUGGACGGUUAAGAAGGGAGAAUGCCGGAAUGAGUAGCGAGAUGGAGGUGGGAAUCCUCCAGGCCGAAUAUCUAAGGUUUCCAGGGUAAAGCUGAUCUGCCCUGGGUAAGUCGGGGCCUAAGGCGAGGUCGAAAGACGUAGCCGAUGGACAACAGGUUGAGAUUCCUGUACUGCUGCAUGGCAGAACUGUGGGGACACAGGUGGAGAGCGCUGACCGGGAAUGGAAAGACCGGGGCAAGCAGAGGAGGCGCUGCGCUGGCAAAUCCGCGCAGCAAGCCAAAGCUGUGAUGCAUAGUGAACUAUAAGUAACGAAUAGCGUGAGCCAGCUGUCGAGAAAAGCCGCUAUUGCCCAUGCAGUACCCGUACCGUAAACCGACACAGGUGGAUGAGGAGAGAAUCCUAAGGCCGACGGAAGAAGCAUUGUUAAGGAACUCGGCAAAAUGACCCCGUAACUUCGGGAGAAGGGGUGCCCCUCAGAAGGGGGGCCGCAGUGAAAUGGCCCAAGCAACUGUUUAGCAAAAACACAGGUCUAUGCGAAACCGAAAGGUGAGGUAUAUGGGCUGACGCCUGCCCGGUGCUGGAAGGUUAAGAGGAGAGGUUAGCGCAAGCGAAGCUUUGAAUUUAAGCCCCAGUAAACGGCGGCCGUAACUAUAACGGUCCUAAGGUAGCGAAAUUCCUUGUCGGGUAAGUUCCGACCCGCACGAAAGGCGUAAUGAUUUGGGCACUGUCUCAACAAUGCACCCGGUGAAAUUGAAAUACCAGUGAAGAUGCUGGUUACCUGCGCCAGGACGGAAAGACCCCAUGGAGCUUUACUCCAGCUUGAUACUGGGAUUCGGUAUUGCAUGUACAGGAUAGGUGGGAGGCUAAGAAGUAAGGACGCCAGUCCUUAUGGAGCCGCUGUUGGGAUACCACCCUUGCAGUACUGGGUUUCUAACCAGCAGCCGUGAUCCGGCUGGGGGACAAUGUCAGGUGGGGAGUUUGACUGGGGCGGUCGCCUCCGAAAGGGUAUCGGAGGCGCUCAAAGGUUCCCUCAGAAUGGUCGGAAACCAUUCGAAGAGUGCAAAGGCAGAAGGGAGCUUGACUGCGACACCGACGGGUGGAGCAGGUACGAAAGUAGGACUUAGUGAUCCGGUGGUAUUAAGUGGGAAUGCCAUCGCUCAACGGAUAAAAGCUACCCUGGGGAUAACAGGCUUAUCACUCCCAAGAGUUCACAUCGACGGAGUGGUUUGGCACCUCGAUGUCGGCUCAUCGCAUCCUGGGGCUGUAGUAGGUCCCAAGGGUUGGGCUGUUCGCCCAUUAAAGCGGUACGCGAGCUGGGUUCAGAACGUCGUGAGACAGUUCGGUCCCUAUCCGGCGUGGGCGUAGGAUAUUUGAGAGGAGCUGUCCUUAGUACGAGAGGACCGGGAUGGACUGGCCGCUGGUGUAUCUGUUGUUUUACCAAGAGCAUGGCAGAGUAGCCAAGCCGGGAAGGGAUAAACGCUGAAGGCAUCUAAGCGUGAAGCCCCCCUCAAGAUGAGAUAUCCCAUACGCAAGUAGUAAGACCCCUUGA